AGCGGGCGGCGCUAUUUCCCUUCCUCCACUGCUCUCUCCCAGGGAGCAGCACUGACACCUCUGCGGAAGGCACAUAUGCCGAGGACCCAGGUUCGUUCAGUGAUUGUAUCUGAGGCCAGUGGAACCAAAAGGCGCAAACUAUGCAAAACCUACGUGAGCCGCUUCAGCUCAUCCAGCAUCUAAUCUGCUGCAGCAUUACCAAG
Long non-coding RNA from Pseudophryne corroboree (corroboree frog), 203 nucleotides. RefSeq lists it as uncharacterized. The record is from RefSeq and is a predicted model, not a curated record. Lineage: Eukaryota; Metazoa; Chordata; Amphibia; Anura; Myobatrachidae. The transcript has 3 exons.